GUCUACAGCCAUACUACCCUGAAUGCAUCUAAUCUUGUCUGAUCUUGGAAGCUAAGCAGGGUCUGAACUGAUUAAAACUUGGAUGGGAGACUAUGGCUAAAAGUAAACU
RNAcentral lists this ribosomal RNA (109 nucleotides) under Castor canadensis (American beaver). Lineage: Eukaryota; Metazoa; Chordata; Mammalia; Rodentia; Castoridae. The record is from RNAcentral.